CAGAUUGUAGACUGGAGACUCUGAGACUGUGGAGCUGCAGCUUGUCAGAGAUCAGCUGUGAUUCUCUGGUCUCAGCUCUGAAGUCCAACCCAUCCCAUCUGAAACAUCUGCACCUGGGUAACAACAACCUGGAGGAUUCAGAUAUGAAGGAGCUUCUUGAUCUUUUGAAGAGUCCAGACUAUAACAUUUCUCUGGAAUUGUGGUCGUGAUAACCAGGAGGGUGUGUGUUGUGAGAGGAUGAGCUGUGUCAUGAUGAUC
Molecule: long non-coding RNA, 258 nt
Organism: Mugil cephalus (flathead mullet)
Lineage: Eukaryota; Metazoa; Chordata; Actinopteri; Mugiliformes; Mugilidae
Exons: 3
Source: RefSeq, a predicted model, not a curated record